RNAcentral lists this ribosomal RNA (403 nucleotides) under uncultured bacterium. RNAcentral describes it as "bacterial SSU rRNA". It matches the Rfam family "Bacterial small subunit ribosomal RNA", at positions 358 to 773 of the family's 1533-position model. The record is from RNAcentral.
GGAAUAUUGGACAAUGGGCGGAAGCCUGAUCCAGCAACGCCGCGUGAGGGAUGACGGCCUUCGGGUUGUAAACCUCUUUCAGUACCGCCGCAGCGAAAGUGACGGUAGGUACAGAAGAAGGACCGGCCAACUCAGUCCCAGCAGCCGGGGUAAUACGUAGGGACCGAGCGUUGUCCGGAAUUAUUGGGCGUAAAGGGCUCGUAGGCGGUUUGUCGCGUCGGGAGUGAAAACCAUGGGCUUAACUCAUGGCUUGCUUUCGAUACGGGCAGACUAGAGGUAUGCAGGGGAGAAUGGAAUUCCUGGUGUAGCGGUGAAAUGCGCAGAUAUCAGGAGGAACACCGGUGGCGAAGGCGGUUCUCUGGGCAUUACCUGACGCUGAGGAGCGAAAGUGUGGGGAGCGAAC